This 25-nucleotide unclassified non-coding RNA is filed under the name Mus musculus (house mouse). RNAcentral's name for it is "oocyte_clustered_small_RNA2788". The record is from RNAcentral. Lineage: Eukaryota; Metazoa; Chordata; Mammalia; Rodentia; Muridae.
UGUGUGUGUGAAUCAUCAUCUUUAG